Molecule: transfer RNA, 71 nt
Filed under: Halipeurus diversus
Lineage: Eukaryota; Metazoa; Arthropoda; Insecta; Psocodea; Philopteridae
Description: tRNA-Leu
Source: RNAcentral
ACUAAAUUGGCAGAAUUAAAGUGCAUUAAACUUAGAAUUUAAGCAUAUGUAAGUAGUUUACAUAUUUAGUA